CCCAGAUUAAAUUAAAUUAAACUAAAACUGAGUACUUUGUUUCACUUGUACGCUGUUCACAGCUGGCAAAAUGUGCGCAAGCUUGAUUAGAGAUGCUGGCAUGUGGAGCCCCCAACUGUGAAAGGCGUGCUGUUUCUAUUCCAAUGUAUUGCCUAGGCAACAGACGAAGUGCAACUCUUGGUGGUUCGAAAGUGAUCUCGAUCCAUUGAACUGCAAAG
Molecule: non-coding RNA, 218 nt
Organism: Pelobates cultripes (western spadefoot toad)
Lineage: Eukaryota; Metazoa; Chordata; Amphibia; Anura; Pelobatidae
Source: the annotation of a GenBank genome assembly